Molecule: ribosomal RNA, 405 nt
Filed under: uncultured bacterium
Lineage: Bacteria
Description: partial 16S ribosomal RNA
Rfam family: Bacterial small subunit ribosomal RNA
Source: RNAcentral
GACGAACGCUGGCGGCGUGCUUAACACAUGCAAGUCGAACAGUGGCGAACGGGUGAGUAAUGCUUGGGAAUCUGGCUUAUGGAGGGGGAUAACGAAGGGAAACUGUGGCUAAUACCGCGUACAAUAGGAUGAGCCAACGUGGGAUUAGGUAGUGGGUGGGGUAAUGGCAGAUCAAGGCGAAGAUCCAUAGCGGGUCUGAGAGGAUGACCAGCCACACCGGGACUGAGACACGGCCCGGACUCCGACGGGAGGCAGCAGUGGGGAAUAUUGCGCAAUGGGGGCAACCCUGACGCAGCCAUGCCGCGUGAGUGAAGAAGGCCUUCGGGUUGUAAAGCUCUUUCGGUGGCGAGGCGUUAACCACAGAGGAAGCACCGGCUAACUCCGUGCCAGCAGCCGCGGUAAUUC